Molecule: non-coding RNA, 54 nt
Organism: Salmo salar (Atlantic salmon)
Lineage: Eukaryota; Metazoa; Chordata; Actinopteri; Salmoniformes; Salmonidae
Source: Rfam
GAUAUCAUAAGGUGUCAGUCGCUCUGGAUAAGAGCGUCUGCUAAAUGACGUAAA